This 419-nucleotide ribosomal RNA is filed under the name bacterium. Its description in RNAcentral is "partial 16S ribosomal RNA". It matches the Rfam family "Bacterial small subunit ribosomal RNA", at positions 355 to 776 of the family's 1533-position model. The record is from RNAcentral.
UGGGGGAUAUUGCACAAUGGGCGAAAGCCUGAUGCAGCGACGCCGCGUGGGGGAUGAAGGCCUUCGGGUUGUAAACUUCUUUUGCUCUGAACAAGGCGCACCAUGGGGUGUGUUGAGUGUAGGGGUUGAUUAGCGCCGGCUAACUACGUGCCAGCAGCCGCGGUAAUACGUAGGGCGCGAGCGUUGUCCGGAAUUAUUGGGCGUAAAGGGCUUGUAGGUGGCUGGUUGCGUCUGUCGUGAAAGCUCAUGGCUUAACUGUGGGUUUGCGGUGGGUACGGGCUGGCUUGAGUGCAGUAGGGGAGGCUGGAAUUCCUGGUGUAGCGGUGGAAUGCGCAGAUAUCAGGAGGAAUACCGGUGGCGAAGGCGGGUCUCUGGGCUGUUACUGACACUGAGGCGCGAAAGCAUGGGGAGCGAACAGG